GACCCAAUCAAGAGCAAGGUGUCUCCAAUCUGAGCCCUCUCUUACUGUCCCCUUCUGACUUGGUUAUCCCAGCAGCUGUGAACCCACAUGAAACUGUUCCCACGUACCCAUCAGGCAGUUGUGCAUUACGGUGACUGUAAGGACCACUGAGCAUCUAGGUAACAGCCCAGCCUGGAUUAAAUAUGAAUCACCCAGAGAGAUCAGAGCAGACAAAACAAGUGGAUCCUCCCCUGUGUGCUACCAUGGGUUCUGCUGCAUUGCAAAGCUGCUAAAUCAUUUAACAUCAUGCAGAACUCAUCCAUCCCACUGCAUCAAUCCAUUUUCUGUUGGCAAAGGUGAAAUUGCAGAUCUACCAGCCAGGGAUGCCAAUGUCUUGUGGGGUUCCCAGGUCCUGUUUCAGAACUGAGUGGUUCUGCCCUGCAUUUUGCUAUGAGAUGGAUUCAUCUCAGAGAUGGAUGUGAAAAGUUGAGGUAGCCAGCUCAUAGUGAAGGAGUCAAAGUCCAGCUCACCACAGUCCCAUUGUGGUCAGCAGUGAUGUGCACAGAGGAACCCCAGUGUACCCUUCCAGCUUCCAAUAGAGUUAAGAAAAAGAUCCCAGUAGCAUUUCAGAGUGAAAGGGAGAAGCACCAGCCUCUGGGCAUCAAUUGGAAAAGAGUGAGGAUGAAAGAUGCAUGACCCGGAGGAGAAGGAUAAAAUGUGUUCCUUUGGAUACAAAAUUGAUUGAAAACCUACUGCUGUGAAUAA
This 744-nucleotide long non-coding RNA is filed under the name Coturnix japonica (Japanese quail). RNAcentral describes it as "lncRNA (ENSCJPG00005014827.1)". The record is from RNAcentral. Lineage: Eukaryota; Metazoa; Chordata; Aves; Galliformes; Phasianidae.